CCUACGGGAGGCAGCAGUGAGGAAUAUUGCGCAAUGGGCGAAAGCCUGACGCAGCAACGCCGCGUGGAUGAUGAAGUCUUUCGGAAUGUAAAAUCCUUUUGCAGAGGAAGAAAAUGCUGGUUUACCGGCACUGACGGUACUCUGCGAAUAAGCCACGGCUAACUCUGUGCCAGCAGCCGCGGUAAU
Molecule: ribosomal RNA, 186 nt
Filed under: uncultured Chlorobium sp.
Lineage: Bacteria; Pseudomonadati; Chlorobiota; Chlorobiia; Chlorobiales; Chlorobiaceae
Description: partial 16S ribosomal RNA
Rfam family: Bacterial small subunit ribosomal RNA
Source: RNAcentral